RNAcentral lists this ribosomal RNA (468 nucleotides) under uncultured bacterium. RNAcentral's name for it is "partial 16S ribosomal RNA". It matches the Rfam family "Bacterial small subunit ribosomal RNA", at positions 28 to 507 of the family's 1533-position model. The record is from RNAcentral.
GACGAACGCUGGCGGCGUGCUUAAUACAUGCAAGUCGAACGGAAAGGCCCUGCUCUUGUGGCGUGCUCGAUUGGCGAACGGGUGUGUAACACGUGUGUAACCUGCCCCUGACUGUCUGAUAACUUCAGGAAACUGGGGCUAAUAUCGGGUAUGAUCUUCUGCUGCAUGUUGGUGGUUGGAAAGUGUCGGCGGUUGGGGAUGGACUCGCGGCUUAUCAGCUUGUUGGUGGGGUAGUUGCUUACCAAGGCUUUGACGGGUAGCCGGCCUGAGAGGGUGACCGGCCACAUUGGGACUGAGAUACGGACCAGACUCCUACGGUAGGCAGCAGUGGGGAAUAUUGCACAAUGGGCGGAAGCCUGAUGCAGCAACGCCGCGUGCGGGAUGACGGCCUUCGGGUUGUAAACCGAUUUCGCAUGUGACGAAGCGUGAGUGACGGUAAUGGGUAAAGAAGCACCGGCUAACUACGUG